UACAGAGGUCCCGAGCGUUGUUCGGAUUCACUGGGCGUAAAGGGUGCGUAGGUGGUUGGUUAAGUUUGAGGUGAAAGCUCCGAGCUCAACUCGGAAAAUGCCUUGAAGACUAUCUGACUAGAGGAUUGGAGGGGAGAUUGGAAUUCUCGGUGUAGCAGUGAAAUGCGUAGAUAUCGAGAGGAACACCAGUGGCGAAGGCGAAUCUCUGGACAAUUCCUGACACUGAGGCACGAAAGCCAAGGGAGCAAACGGG
RNAcentral lists this ribosomal RNA (253 nucleotides) under uncultured bacterium. RNAcentral describes it as "partial 16S ribosomal RNA". It matches the Rfam family "Bacterial small subunit ribosomal RNA", at positions 524 to 776 of the family's 1533-position model. The record is from RNAcentral.